RNAcentral lists this ribosomal RNA (327 nucleotides) under Guibemantis pulcher (Tsarafidy Madagascar frog). RNAcentral describes it as "partial 16S ribosomal RNA". It matches the Rfam family "Bacterial large subunit ribosomal RNA", at positions 1986 to 2480 of the family's 2925-position model. Lineage: Eukaryota; Metazoa; Chordata; Amphibia; Anura; Mantellidae. The record is from RNAcentral.
ACUUGUAUCAACGGCACCACGAGGGUUAAACUGUCUCCUUUUUCAUAUCAGUGAAACUAAUCUCCCCGUGAAGAAGCGGGGAUAAUUUUAUAAGACGAGAAGACCCCAUGGAGCUUUAAACCCAUCUACACUCCGCUUAACUCUACCUUUAAACCUCUCGGAUCCUGUAUGUUCUGGUUUUAGGUUGGGGUGACCGCGGAGCAUAAACUAACCUCCACAAUGAAUAAAUUUUUUCUUUAUCUAAGAUUAACACCUCUAAGAAUUAGUAUUCUAACAUAAAAUGAUCCGAUAUUCGAUCAACGAACCAAGUUACCCUGGGGAUAACAG